AGUGAACGCUGGCGGUAGGCCUAACACAUGCAAGUCGAACGGCAGCACAGUAAGAGCUUGCUCUUACGGGUGGCGAGUGGCGGACGGGUGAGGAAUACAUCGGAAUCUACUUUUUCGUGGGGGAUAACGUAGGGAAACUUACGCUAAUACCGCAUACGACCUACGGGUGAAAGCAGGGGAUCUUCGGACCUUGCGCGAUUGAAUGAGCCGAUGUCGGAUUAGCUAGUUGGCGGGGUAAAGGCCAACCAAGGCGACGAUCCGUACCUGGUCUGAGAGGAUGACCAGCAAAACUGGAACUGAGACAGGGUCCAGACUCCUACGGGAGGCAGCAGUGGGGAAUAUUGGACAAUGGGCGCAAGCCUGAUCCAGCCAUACCGCGUGGGUGAAGAAGGCCUUCGGGUUGUAAAGCCCUUUUGUUGGGAAAGAAAAGCAGCAGGUUAAUACCCCGCUGUUCUGACGGUACCCAAAGAAUAAGCACCGGCUAACUUCGUG
RNAcentral lists this ribosomal RNA (492 nucleotides) under uncultured bacterium. Its description in RNAcentral is "partial 16S ribosomal RNA". It matches the Rfam family "Bacterial small subunit ribosomal RNA", at positions 29 to 507 of the family's 1533-position model. The record is from RNAcentral.